GUGGGGAAUCUUGCGCAAUGGGCGAAAGCCUGACGCAGCCAUGCCGCGUGAAUGAUGAAGGUCUUAGGAUUGUAAAAUUCUUUCACCGGGGACGAUAAUGACGGUACCCGGAGAAGAAGCUCCGGCUAACUUCGUGCCAGCAGCCGCGGUAAUACGAAGGGGGCUAGCGUUGCUCGGAAUUACUGGGCGUAAAGGGCGCGUAGGCGGACAGCUUAGUCAGAGGUGAAAGCCCAGGGCUCAACCUUGGAAUUGCCUUUGAUACUGGCUGUCUUGAGUUUGGGAGAGGUGAGUGGAACUCCGAGUGUAGGGGUGAAAUUCGUAGAUAUUCGGAAGAACACCAGUGGCGAAGGCGACUCACUGGCCCAAUACUGACGCUGAGGCGCGAAAGCGUGGGGAGCAAACAGGAUUAGAAACCCCUGUAGUCC
This 425-nucleotide ribosomal RNA is filed under the name uncultured bacterium. RNAcentral describes it as "partial 16S ribosomal RNA". It matches the Rfam family "Bacterial small subunit ribosomal RNA", at positions 354 to 796 of the family's 1533-position model. The record is from RNAcentral.